GAGAGAGAGAGAGAUAAUCUGCAGAUGUUGUCCUAAAUUUUUCCAGUGGUUGUCCAGCUAACAUACGCGAGUCUAUGUAAACCGCUCGAUAAUUCGCAGUCGUUGUCUCGGACAACCACUGCAAGCUGCAGUGGUUGUCCCGAUCGCGUCCCGACCACGUAAUUCACGAUCGCACACUUCGCCCUCCAUAACACUGUAAAUUUCUUUCAACAUUUGUACAUUGAAGAUACCACUAUUAUGUUACAACAACAACAACAAAUAAUCUGUGAUUUCGAAUUUCGGGAAUCCAAGUUGUACGGUAAAUGUCUAAUUAUCGGAAAAUAUUGAUACCUAUUACAUUUAUCUUGUGACUACUCGCUAUUUUAGGAUUUUGAAAAUACGUGAAAAUAAUUUAAUACGAGAUAACGCCGCUUGAGAUGAGCAGAAUGAUGCUAAUUGCUAACGAAGCUUCGAAGUUUGCCAAAGUGAAAGUAAGACUCGCUUGCCGGGAAGUCUGGCGGCUCUCGCGAGGAGCUAACUCCAGGUAGCUGCGCCCCCCAAGGCGUGGCGGCAGAGCUUCCUGGAGUUGACAAGUUGCCUACUGCACUGCCUACCGAGCUGAGCUGAGCUGAGCUGAGUGUGACAUGUGAAGCCACAACAAUUGCUAGCCCAACAGCUCUCAUAUUGACAUCUACUGUAAAGUUAAUCCAGGAUGUCAUUGUCUAGUGACAAUGACAUAGUGCUUGUUCAGUGGGACAGAGAUGGUCAGGAAAAUACAGUUCUCAAGAAUGAAUUGUGCUACACUGCAAGACUGAAAUUGGGGUCUAGAGCGGUGAUGAAUUAGACAGUUUGGAACUGAUGGACCCUGGCCUGGAACAGUGACAGUCAUUGCUGAUUUUGACACAGAAUCUAAAGCUGGGUCUGAAAAUGACGAUGUUCCACUUGCUUCUCUCAGAGAAAUAGAGAGAGGGUACCCUUCUGCACUCAGCCCCCUGCAAGUGGACCCUCCAGCAACCAGCCCCCUGCGAGUGGACCCUUCUGCACCCAGACCCCUCCGAGUGGACUCUCCAGCAACCAGCCCCCUGCGAGUGGACCCUUCUGCACCAAAUCACUUGUAUCAAAUUUUUAGGUCGUGAUAUCUCCGGAAUCCUUUCACGAUCAAUUUUCUAGUUGAAGCAAUUUUUAGUAAAAAACUUUGCUGUCCAUUUGGUAAUAAUUGAAAUAAACACAUUUGUGUAGAAUAUGAGAAAUCAUU
RNAcentral lists this long non-coding RNA (1234 nucleotides) under Strongylocentrotus purpuratus (purple sea urchin). RNAcentral's name for it is "uncharacterized LOC115925386, transcript variant X2". The record is from RNAcentral. Lineage: Eukaryota; Metazoa; Echinodermata; Echinoidea; Camarodonta; Strongylocentrotidae.